AGUUUGAUCAUGGCUCAGAUUGAACGCUGGCGGCAGGCCUAACACAUGCAAGUCGAACGGUAACAGGAAGCAGCUUGCUACUUUGCUGACGAGUGGCGGACGGGUGAGUAAUGUCUGGGAAACUGCCUGAUGGAGGGGGAUAACUACUGGAAACGGUAGCUAAUACCGCAUAACGUCGCAAGACCAAAGAGGGGGACCUUCGGGCCUCUUGCCAUCGGAUGUGCCCAGAUGGGAUUAGCUAGUAGGUGGGGUAACGGCUCACCUAGGGGACGAUCCCUAGCUGGUCUGAGAGGAUGACCAGCCACACUGGAACUGAGACACGGUCCAGACUCCUACGGGAGGCAGCAGUGGGGAAUAUUGCACAAUGGGCGCAAGCCUGAUGCAGCCAUGCCGCGUGUAUGAAGAAGGCCUUCGGGUUGUAAAGUACUUUCAGCGGGGAGGAAGGCGAUAAGGUUAAUAACCUUGUCGAUUGACGUUACCCGCAGAAGAAGCACCGGCUAACUCCGUGCCAGCAGCCGCGGUAAUACGGAGGGUGCAGGCGUUAAUCGGAAUUACUGGGCGUAAAGCGCACGCAGGCGGUCUGUCAAGUCGGAUGUGAAAUCCCCGGGCUCAACCUGGGAACUGCAUUCGAAACUGGCAGGCUAGAGUCUUGUAGAGGGGGGUAGAAUUCCAGGUGUAGCGGUGAAAUGCGUAGAGAUCUGGAGGAAUACCGGUGGCGAAGGCGGCCCCCUGGACAAAGACUGACGCUCAGGUGCGAAAGCGUGGGGAGCAAACAGGAUUAGAUACCCUGGUAGUCCACGCCGUAAACGAUGUCGACUUGGAGGUUGUGCCCUUGAGGCGUGGCUUCCGGAGCUAACGCGUUAAGUCGACCGCCUGGGGAGUACGGCCGCAAGGUUAAAACUCAAAUGAAUUGACGGGGGCCCGCACAAGCGGUGGAGCAUGUGGUUUAAUUCGAUGCAACGCGAAGAACCUUACCUACUCUUGACAUCCAGAGAACUUUCCAGAGAUGGAUUGGUGCCUUCGGGAACUCUGAGACAGGUGCUGCAUGGCUGUCGUCAGCUCGUGUUGUGAAAUGUUGGGUUAAGUCCCGCAACGAGCGCAACCCUUAUCCUUUGUUGCCAGCGGUCCGGCCGGGAACUCAAAGGAGACUGCCAGUGAUAAACUGGAGGAAGGUGGGGAUGACGUCAAGUCAUCAUGGCCCUUACGAGUAGGGCUACACACGUGCUACAAUGGCGCAUACAAAGAGAAGCGACCUCGCGAGAGCAAGCGGACCUCAUAAAGUGCGUCGUAGUCCGGAUUGGAGUCUGCAACUCGACUCCAUGAAGUCGGAAUCGCUAGUAAUCGUGGAUCAGAAUGCCACGGUGAAUACGUUCCCGGGCCUUGUACACACCGCCCGUCACACCAUGGGAGUGGGUUGCAAAAGAAGUAGGUAGCUUAACCUUCGGGAGGGCGCUUACCACUUUGUGAUUCAUGACUGGGGUGAAGUCGUAACAAGGUAACCGUA
RNAcentral lists this ribosomal RNA (1504 nucleotides) under uncultured Escherichia sp. Its description in RNAcentral is "bacterial SSU rRNA". It matches the Rfam family "Bacterial small subunit ribosomal RNA". Lineage: Bacteria; Pseudomonadati; Pseudomonadota; Gammaproteobacteria; Enterobacterales; Enterobacteriaceae. The record is from RNAcentral.